AGAGUUUGAUCAUGGCUCAGAACGAACGCUGGCGGCAUGCCUAACACAUGCAAGUCGAACGUGAUCCAGGCUUCGGCCUGGUGAAAGUGGCAGACGGGUGAGUAACGCGUGGGAACCUGCCCUGUGGUAGGGAAUAACCGUGGGAAACUGCGGCUAAUACCCUAUGAGUCCUUCGGGAGAAAGAUUUAUCGCCAUAGGAGGGGCCCGCGUCGGAUUAGGUAGUUGGUGGGGUAACGGCCUACCAAGCCUUCGAUCCGUAGCUGGUCUGAGAGGAUGAUCAGCCACACUGGGACUGAGAUACGGCCCAGACUCCUACGGGAGGCAGCAGUGGGGAAUAUUGGACAAUGGGGGCAACCCUGAUCCAGCAAUGCCGCGUGGAUGAUGAAGGCCUUCGGGUUGUAAAGUCCUUUCGGCGGGGAAGAUGAUGACGGUACCCGCAGAAGAAGCCCGGCUAACUUCGUGCCAGCAGCCGCGGUA
RNAcentral lists this ribosomal RNA (477 nucleotides) under uncultured Pseudomonadota bacterium. RNAcentral's name for it is "bacterial SSU rRNA". It matches the Rfam family "Bacterial small subunit ribosomal RNA", at positions 8 to 522 of the family's 1533-position model. Lineage: Bacteria; Pseudomonadati; Pseudomonadota. The record is from RNAcentral.